GCUGCUAUGGCUCAGUUGGUAGAGCGCGUCCUUGGUAAGGACGAGGUCCGCAGUUCGAAUCUGCGUAGCAGCUCCA
RNAcentral lists this transfer RNA (76 nucleotides) under Clostridia bacterium. RNAcentral describes it as "tRNA-Thr". It matches the Rfam family "tRNA". Rfam says of the family: Transfer RNA (tRNA) molecules are approximately 80 nucleotides in length. Their secondary structure includes four short double-helical elements and three loops (D, anti-codon, and T loops). The record is from RNAcentral. RNAcentral also lists the same sequence under 1 other name. Lineage: Bacteria; Bacillati; Bacillota; Clostridia.